UAUUGACACAUAUCCUUGUACUUAUCAUCUUGAACUUAACUGUUAUGGAGUCUUAUCCUUUCAAUCUCAACUUGACUGCAGCACAUAAGAUACUCUUAGGACCAUUCAGUGGGAUCUGGAAUAUCAUCUUUAUAUUCUUUAAGUGCUUGAAGAAGUUGUUGAUAAUAAGGGCCAUCUAGUACAGUGUCUCAUGGAGCAUUAAUAUGUGGAGGAGGCCAGAUUUCAAAUGGGAUAACUCGAUUAAACUGGCAAAGAUAUUUCUGCAGGUUUAUGUAUUCAUUAUCAGAGUGCGUAACUUCAUCCGAAUAGAUUCUAUGAAUCCAAGCGGGAACCUAGCUGUGUAGCUCGUCCACAUUGCACGAAAUAUUGUGGUAUAUAGAAAAUGAUUACAGCUUUAUGUCUAGGAGUUCUCAUUUGUUCAUUUGUAAUCAUGUUCAACCAUUGGUCAAAAGGAUGGAACCAACUUAAGAAUGUGAAAUUUUUUUGAUAUUUAGGCUGGAUAUUUCCAUGAACCGCAUUGCACAGGAAAUAUUUGAGGUCUAAAACAGAAAAUUGAAUGGAUACAUGGUAAAGACGAGUAAAAUACCAUAAAAACCAUUUCAAUUCUUCUGGAACUUCAGUGAAAUAAGUCCAUCAGAUAGGAUGAAUAAAAGGAUAAUCAGGGUGAACACCAAAGGGUUUGAGGACGAGACCUCCAAAGUUUUUGAAAACUUGGAGUUGAUAUUCAAACAUCAUGUCUCGGGUUUUUUGGUGAAAAGUUUUUUCUUCAAAAAGCCUCAUAACCUCUGAAGGAAAUUCUGGAUUCAGGUUGGGUGGAAUGAGAAAGGCUUGCACAGAGUUUUUUGAAGAAGAUAAUGCUACUGUUCUGUACAUCAUUAUGGGCCUGGGCUGGGAAGUUCUGAGUGCCAUAACCUCUUUUGUUGGCCUGGUUAAAAGAUCUGCCAAAACAUUGGUAUUUCUUUUAGUGUGUUUAACAUCAAAGGAAUAUUUAGAAAACUAUUUAGCCUAUCUCAAGAGUUGAGAAUGUGGAACAGUUUUCUGUUUGAACUUGAGCAUUUGUGGAAAUGAAGACAUGUCCAUUUCAAUUAAGAAAUGGUAUUCAAUUAGAUGGAAUUCAACUUUUGAAAUACCUUUCUUUAACUGCAAGGAUUUCUUUGAAAGUGGAGUGGUAAUGAAGUUCUGCAUCAAUAAAUCUUCCACUUUUAAAUUCACGUAUGUGUCUUUUUCCUUCAAGUUCUUUAAAUAAAAUGGCUCCCCAAUAUUUAUCACUUGCAUCUGUUUGAAGAAUUCUCUUUCCAUCAUAGGGGAUCUGUAAUGCCGGUAGAUGUUGUAAUUUUUCUUUCAGUAUUUGGAUGGCUUUGGUUUGUGUUGUGCUCCAUGGAGGCGGAUUUUUCUUUAACAUCUUGGUGAGAGGGUUAAUAUAUCUAGAGAUUUUAGGAUGGAUAAUUAACAACUCUCAGAAAUUGUUGGAUUUGCUUCUUGGUUAAAUCUGCAUCUGGAAACUCAAGGAGUUUUUUAGCAAUAUGUGGUCUUGAAGAAUAUUUGCCUUCUUUAUUCAUUCCAAGAUAUUCUAUCUCUGAUUUGUUGAUGUGCAUCUUCCUUUCAGAAAUCAUAAUUCCAUUGGAAUAUGAGUUGACUAAAUUGGUUGAGUAAUUCAGAAUAAGUUUCUUCAUCUGGGCUGUAUAAGAGAAUGUCAUCAAUACAAAUCAAGGCACUAUUCAUGAUUGCACGAAAAAUCUUGGUCAUGGCCUUCUGAAAUUUGGAUGGUGCUGUUGUUAGUCUAAAAGACAUCACUUUCCACUGGUAGUGUCUGUUUGGAAUACAAAACCCCGUCUUUGGCCUGUUUUCUGGAAUGACUCGUCAUUGCCAAAAUAUAGCUUUGAGAUCAAAUUUGGAAUAGACUUAGCUUUGACUAAAUUGGAUAAUAAUGCCUUCUUAUUUGGCGAGAUCAAAUUUGGAAUAGACUUUAGCUUUGGCUAAACUGAAGAAUAAUGCCUUCUUAUUUAGCAGUGGGAAUUUAUCAUCCUGAAGGAAAAGAUUAAAGGGUUCAUAGUUUACCACCAAUCUAAGUUUUCCCCUUAUUUGUUCAGACCCUUUGUUGACAUAAAAUGCUUCAUACGCCCAUUGUGAUUCUGAGGGUUCAAUUAGACUUUGUUGUUGAAGUUCUUCACAUUCAUUUUCUGCAAGACGGAGAUGUUUAGGAUUCAUUCCUUGAUGACUGGCUUUUGUGGGAUUUAUGUCUUCAUUCUUCUUAAAUGGCAAAGAGAUAAAGAAAUCAAAAUUUUUCCACAGAGGGUUUGAGCAUUUGGAGAAAAAUUUGGUGUGGGAAUUUGCACAGGUAAUGUUUUUGAGUUUCUGGACUAUUUGGGAUAUCUUGUGUAACUAGAAGGUAAACAAUUUGGGUAUCUGCACAAAUGGUUGAAAUUGAUUUUUAUAUCUAAACCCAUAUGGAAGGAUUCUCAGACGUUAGGCUUUAGAAUAAAUAUCAAAACCAAUGACAAUAUAUUUUCCUGGAAGCUUGGAUCCAAGAAUAGUUACCUUAACAAAACAUCUAGGGAAAAAUUGUAUGGUGAUAGGCUUAUUUUUCAGAUAAGUUGUAAAAGGAUAAUUUGCUGCUGAGUUGAAAAAUGUUGUAUGAGGUAUCCACCAUUCUGAUGGAAGAACAUCUAGGUUCAUGAUAGUAGCAGCAGCUCCAGUGUCAAGAAAUGCAAUAACAGUAAUAGGCUUACUGUAUUUGUCUAAAUAGAUCUUCACUGGGACUUGGGGAACUAGUACAGUAUCCUUUGCAAUAAAUGAUUGGUGUUGUGUUUCUUGGGCCUGCAUGGCGAUCAUCAUGUAAAUGGAUGAGUCCAAAAAAUCAGACUCAUUGCUUGGAAAAUAAGUUAGAAUAACACAUAGGGUCUUUUCUGUUGGUUCAUCAUCUAUUGAGAAAAGAGAUUCUAGAUCAUCAUCUUUUUUUAUUUGAAUUCCAACUUUGUUUUGGAUCUGUUGGAUCAUUUUUGCACCUUUUUUUUGUUAUUGGUACAAUUUUUUUGGCAAAAUGCCCCUUUUUAUUGCAAAUAUAGCAUCUAGAUGAUUUUGUACCUUGAAGAGAUUUCUUCCUUUUCAAAUAUCUCCACUGUGGCUUCCAUUUUCUUGAAGUUCUGGAGGAUUUGUUGCAUUGGAAGAUAGAUCUCUUGAAAUGUCUUUUCUUUUUGGUUCUACAUAUGUAAGAAUAAUCUUUUGGGCAUUUGAACUUCAAGUAAGAAUCAUCACAAGCUUUGUCAAUCCUUUUAUCUCCAUAAAGAUAAUCUUUAAAAAUCUUCCUUCUAUCCAACUGUAAGACUCAGAAUGUCUUUGUUUUGUCUCUAGAGAGCUUGAUUUAUUGCAACUUGUAGGGGAUCUGGGAUUGAAGCAAGGAUUGCUGGUUUGAGAUUACUGUUGAGUCCUAAUGAGCAGAAAAGUCGAGUCAUUAUUUUGAAAUGUCUUGACAGGUCUUUUUUGCUGUAGGAAUAACAUUUUCUUUUAAAAAACUCUUGUCACUUCAGAUUAAGUAAAUCAUCUGGAUUGCCAACAAAAUGUUGAAUGAUUUAGAUUGAAGUACUCAGAUCUUGAAGGACCAAGAACUGCAUCUGUGAAUUUUGAUCAAUUGAAUUCCAAAAAUCUCUAAACAUUCUUGUAAACUUGGAAACAUAUUCCAAGAGAAUGUUGUAGCAGUAAGCUUUCGGGUGUCAAGACAAGAAUGAAAUUUUUGAAUUCUUGCUGGCCAUUUUUUUGGUGGAAUAUUAUCAAGUGUGAAGGUCAUUCGACUAAUGGAUGGUCCUUUUGUGGUUCUUAAAGCUUGAAAUGAUGAUUCUCCUUAUUGAGUUACAUCUGCCAUUGGUUCAUCAUCAGAAAUGACCUUAACCUUUGGUUGAGCUUGGGCAAUCCUUUUAAGAUUUUCACCUGACUCAUCUUCUGAGGAGGAAUCUGAGGAGUCUGUUGAUAUUUCAGUAGAUGAUGACUCUGUUUGAGAAUUGUUUUCUUCUUAUGAUAGCUGAAUAGCUGAAAUUCUUGGUACCAAAUUGUCUUGACAAUCUUUUAAAAAGGAUAAUAAAUGAUUCUUCUGAUGUUGUAUCAUCAAGGAUUUGGAAGUUUGUUUCGGGGGAGGAGAAGGGACUGCAGGAAACUUAAUGAAAGCUCUGUCUGAUGGAGAACUGUUCUGUCUGAUUGAAGGAAAUAGCAAGAAUUCUGUGUCAGAAUCUUUAGGACUCGUUUUUAGCGGAGGAAUUUAUCAUAUUUCCUUCAAAGUUUUAAUCUGAUCUUUCAGCCUUCAAAUUUCUUUAUCCCUUUGUGUGAUAUGGGAAAAAAAAUCUUGUCCUAGAGCAGCCGUUUCUCUAGCAACUUCUUUUAAGCGUUUCUGUAGAAGGGCAAUUAAGUCUUUUACCAUCUUGGAGUUAUCAUCAAGUUUAGCUUCAACCGUUGACUUUUGAAUCCAGAUGGGAGACUUUAGAAACUAGUUUCUUGAGAACCCUGUUCUGUGCUAUGGCAUUUUCAUUUUGCCAUUUCAGGGCAGCUUCUGCAGCACAAAUUUGUGGGUUUGCCUAAGUCAUUAGCUUGAAGUUUGGAAGGAAUUUUAGGGGCAUGGGUUUACCCCUGUUGGGUAAAUUCUUGUAAAGGUGGAAAUUCUUGUUCAUAUGAUGUAUCUGUAAAAUGAUACAUACAUACUGAGGUACGCACAGGGAUUUCUUUUGAACCCAUUUACGAAUUUGGUUAUAGCAGGGCUGAGGGAAAGGGUUUUUGUUUAGAGUUAUAACUUUUUUGGGUGCAGGAGGAGACAAAGGUUUUCAAAGAGCUAGUGGGUUUGAGUCAGUUAGUAAUAUCAGGUUUGGUUGAGGAAUUUUUGUAGAGUAAUCAACAAGGUAAAGGAAUUUACCAUUGUCUUCUCUUAAAGGGCCAAUGGAAGAGUCUCCGUUCAUGUAUCUUUUGUAAAACUCGGAUUGAGAGGAUUUCCUUUUUGACUUCUUUUUA
Long non-coding RNA from Gossypium raimondii (Peruvian cotton), 4989 nucleotides. RefSeq lists it as uncharacterized. The transcript is spliced from 2 exons. Lineage: Eukaryota; Viridiplantae; Streptophyta; Magnoliopsida; Malvales; Malvaceae. The record is from RefSeq and is a predicted model, not a curated record.